GUUUACAAGGAAGUAUCGGUCUUACAAAGGGUUUAUUCCACAAAGCCGGUUUUAUCACAUAACCAGGGUAGUUUUCUCUAUAAUGUUGGAGAUGCUGAGCACAUUGGGAAAGCUAAGGUGUGCCGAUCCGUGCGUAAAGUGUGUCUCAAGCGGUUCAUGCGCGACUUCAUCCGCUUCCCUGGACACAAACCCACGAGGGUCAUAAAAAUGGAGUUCCAUCAACUUGCAGAAUUUCCAAAUGUAAUUGGGUGCAUUGAAGGCACACAAGUCCCCAUAAUGGCCCCAUCUAUAAAUGAGGCUGAUUAUGUGAACAGGAAAGGCUAUUACAGUAUAAAUGUUCAGGUGAUAUGUGAUGCUUGAAUUCUCACAUGAUUACCAUAUGUAGAGGCAAAAUUGCCUGGUUCGGUCCACGAUGCGAGGAUAUAACGUGAAUCCAAUAUGAGCAAUACAUUUC
Gadus chalcogrammus (walleye pollock) is the source of this 454-nucleotide long non-coding RNA. RefSeq lists it as uncharacterized. The transcript is spliced from 4 exons. Lineage: Eukaryota; Metazoa; Chordata; Actinopteri; Gadiformes; Gadidae. The record is from RefSeq and is a predicted model, not a curated record.